This 357-nucleotide long non-coding RNA is filed under the name Manihot esculenta (cassava). RNAcentral describes it as "long non-coding RNA (MESC_LNC002622)". The record is from RNAcentral. Lineage: Eukaryota; Viridiplantae; Streptophyta; Magnoliopsida; Malpighiales; Euphorbiaceae.
CGGCGUUUACGUGGCGCAGCCUCCGCCCACUCAUGUCGCGACAUGCGUCAAAGUUGUUGGUCUUCUUUUGACCGGCUUUUGUGGCGGCUCCUCGAAGAAGCGAGCCAAACCCACCCUUGCCGCCAAGGAGCCGGAGCAAGAGGUGGACAGUGCAUUCAGGACUGGAGAUUACGGAUCGAUCACUGAGUUGUGUCCCGCUGUAAAUAAGGCGCUGCGAGUGAGUGGGGAUUUUGGUGAUCUCGGAGAUACGUCGCUUGAUGGCGAGGCCGUCAACUUGCGGGGCCGUGAAUCUAAGCGUUGCUGUUUUGCCAUCAAGAAGUUUGACAAAUAUCUGGAAGAACUUGGUGCUAUCCUCCA